GCAGGAAACCAGAUGACCCCUUCGGGGUGAUUCUGGNGGAAUGAGCGGCGGACGGGUGAGUAACACGUGGGCAACCUGCCUGUAAGACUGGGAUAACUUCGGGAAACCGGAGCUAAUACCGGAUAGUAUUUCCUUUCUCCUGAUUGGAAAUGGAAAGACGGUUUCGGCUGUCACUUACAGAUGGGCCCGCGGUGCAUUAGCUAGUUGGUGGGGUAAUGGCCCACCAAGGCGACGAUGCAUAGCCGACCUGAGAGGGUGAUCGGCCACACUGGGACUGAGACACGGCCCAGACUCCUACGGGAGGCAGCAGUAGGGAAUCUUCCGCAAUGGACGAAAGUCUGACGGAGCAACGCCGCGUGAGCGAUGAAGGCCUUCGGGUCGUAAAGCUCUGUUGUUAGGGAAGAACAAGUACGAGAGUAACUGCUCGUACCUUGACGGUACCUAACCAGAAAGCCCCGGCUAACUACGUGCCAGCAGCCGCGGUAAUACGUAGGGGGCAAGCGUUGUCCGGAAUUAUUGGGCGUAAAGGGCUCGUAGGCGGUUUCUUAAGUCUGAUGUGAAAGCCCACAGCUCAACUGUGGAGGGUCAUUGGAAACUGGGGAACUUGAGUGCAGAAGAGGAGAGUGGAAUUCCACGUGUAGCGGUGAAAUGCGUAGAUAUGUGGAGGAACACCAGUGGCGAAGGCGACUCUCUGGUCUGUAACUGACGCUGAG
Molecule: ribosomal RNA, 713 nt
Filed under: bacterium VIII.9
Lineage: Bacteria
Description: bacterial SSU rRNA
Rfam family: Bacterial small subunit ribosomal RNA
Source: RNAcentral